This is an RNA transcript of Tripterygium wilfordii, 1867 nucleotides long. It is a transcript of the gene named protein CDC73 homolog, with no coding region annotated. The record is from RefSeq and is a predicted model, not a curated record. The transcript is spliced from 6 exons. Lineage: Eukaryota; Viridiplantae; Streptophyta; Magnoliopsida; Celastrales; Celastraceae.
AUUUUUCUAACGCCUACCGCGAGUCCCAUGGACCCUCUAUCGGCACUCCGGGAGUACACAAUCCGCGGCGAGAUCGACAAGAUUGUGCGCGUCAACGACGAGUUCCGCUUCGCCAACGAAUACACAUUCCCUUGCAACGCCGACACUGCUUAUCGCUCCAAGCAGGGCAACCUCUACACUCUCGAGACCCUCGUCUUUUACAUCAAGGACCCUUACCUCAAACAUGUCGACUACAUCCAGAACGCCCGUGCCAAUCGCGUCCCCACUGUAACUCUCCCCGAUCGGAAACCCCUCCUCGACUACCUCACCGGAAAGGUGUCAUCCUCCGACGCUAUUGAGUUCCCGCUUCCUCAAAAUCCUAUCCCAAUUAUCAAUAAUAGUGAGUAUCGUCCCGAUGAGUCCGCAUUUGUUGAAUCUAAAUAUAAAUCCUUUCGUGAUGCUGGUUUGGCGGAUGUUACGGCGAUGGGGGUUGAUGAAACUCCUGAAAAUUUGGAUUUUAUGUUGAUGAUUAGGGCGAUUGAGAGGCCGUUGAAAGAUAGAGAGAGUUUACUGGAGUGCAAGCACAAGGAUUUUUAUAGUGGGCUUGUUACGGCCACGAAGCGGGAGGAAGAAAGGCAGCGAAUUGAGUCGCAGCAGAGGAAGGACGGUCUGGUGGCGAAGAAUCGGUUGAUGGGGGCGGAUGAGCGAGGUUUAGGAUUUUCGGAUGAGAUGGCUUACGAUUCGGGGCCUAAGUCAAAGAUGUUGAAGGUUGGCCAAAUGGGUGAGGGGGUGCCUAUAAUUCUUGUGCCCAGUGCGUUCCAGACACUCAUUACGAUUUACAAUGUGAAGGAGUUUUUGGAAGACGGGGUUUUCGUGCCCACCGAUGUAAAGGUGAAACAGAUGAAGGGGUCAAGGCCAGAUUGUAUCACUGUGCAGAAGAAGUUCAGUAGGGACAGGGAGAAGGUAAUGCAAGCCUACGAGGUCAGGGAUAAACCAUCUGCUUUGAAGCCGGAGGACUGGGACAGGGUGGUGGCUGUUUUUGUGUUAGGGAAAGAGUGGCAGUUCAAAGAGUGGCCUUUUAAGGAUCACGUGGAGAUUUUCAAUAAAAUUAUUGGUUUUUUCAUGCGAUUUGAAGAUGACAGCGUGGAGUCAGCUAAGACUGUGAAGCAGUGGAAUGUAAAAAUCAUUUCCAUAAGUAAGAACAAGAGACACCAGGACAGGGCGGCAGCACUGGAGGUUUGGGACAGACUGGAAGAAUUUGUCCGGCCCCGGUCACAUUCUUGAGACGGGCAGAGAUUUCAAGAGCCUUUGCGUGCACCUUUGAAUGCUUGAUGGAUUGGAUGAGUGCUGUAUGAGAUUUGACGAUCAUAUUCCUAGCAGUAUCCUCGUACACAUACAUAUAUGCAUGCAAUGAAAAAGGGGAAAAAAAGGAGAUACAUACAUGCUCACAUGUAAGGCUUGAAGCAUAAUACCUUCUGAAUCUAAAUUGAAGCAUAAUGAAAGAACGAUUCAAGAAAACCGAGGCUGGUGCAGCUGUGUCCAACUCUUGAAUUGCUUACAUACUCACGCAGCUAUACUGGCAUAUGACGUUUCAUUGAAAAUGCUUAUAGAACAGGAUGAAGCUAUAUACAUAUGCCUUUUCUGGAUACAAUGUGUCUUUCCACCAAGUUCACAUGUAAUGCAAUUUGUGAUAAACCAAGAGGAUGAUUUAUGCCCGUGACCAUCAUUAUUCUUGACCCAUGGAGAGCAGAUUCAUGAUUAAAGCACGUUCUUUUCUCUUUAUUCUUCUGUAUUCUCUUGGUGCAUUGUGCAUUGAUGGUAGCUCAUGUUAAGAAGUUUAGGAAAUGAUGAAGUUUAGUACAUGAGUUUUUCUGUUGGCUGUGACUAA